This 211-nucleotide unclassified non-coding RNA is filed under the name plant metagenome. RNAcentral's name for it is "partial contains small subunit ribosomal RNA, internal transcribed spacer 1, and 5.8S ribosomal RNA". The record is from RNAcentral.
UUUCCGUAGGUGAACCUGCGGAAGGAUCAUCCAUAAUAAAGUGUUUUAUGGCACUUUUUAAAAAUCCAUAUCCACCUUGUGUGCAAUGUUAGAUCUCGUCAAUCUUGGCGAGAUUUUUAUACAUCAGCUCAUUUUUUAACUAAUUUGUCUGAAAAAUAUUAUGAAUACUUAAUUCAAAAUACAACUUUCAACAACGGAUCUCUUGGCUCUC